GGGCUCACACAAGCGGUGGAGCAUGUGGUUUAAUUCGAUGCAACGCGAAAAACCUUACCUACUCUUGACAUACUUGGGAGCUCUUGUAAUGAGAGUGUGCCUUUUGGAACCAAGAUACAGGUGCUGCAUGGCUGUCGUCAGCUCGUGUCGUGAGAUGUUCCGUUAAGUCGGAUAACGAGCGCAACCCUUACCCUUAUUUGCCAGCGAUUCGGUCGGGAACUAUAAGGGGACUGCCGGUGAUAAACCGGAGGAAGGUGAGGACGACGUCAAGUCAUCAUGGCCCUUACGAGUAGGGCUACACACGUGCUACAAUGGGGAAUACAGACGGACGCUAAGCCGCGAGGUGGUGCUAAUCCUAGAAACCGUGCCUCAGUUCGGAUUGCAGGCUGCAACUCGCCUGCAUGAAGCCGGAAUCGCUAGUAA
RNAcentral lists this ribosomal RNA (423 nucleotides) under uncultured bacterium. RNAcentral's name for it is "bacterial SSU rRNA". It matches the Rfam family "Bacterial small subunit ribosomal RNA", at positions 917 to 1341 of the family's 1533-position model. The record is from RNAcentral.